This 632-nucleotide small RNA is filed under the name Pan troglodytes (chimpanzee). Its description in RNAcentral is "retained intron". The record is from RNAcentral. Lineage: Eukaryota; Metazoa; Chordata; Mammalia; Primates; Hominidae.
GAGCUAAGCAGGAGUCCUGGCAGGGCGGAGACCAGGGUCCCACCGAUCCCAGGUUCAGAAAGAAGACAGGGGCCCAAGGGCGGCAGCACAAGCAGAGGCCCUAACAUCUCGCGCCCCAGUUUGAAGGGGAGAUCGUGGUUCACACGAAGAUGAUGAUCGACCCCAACGCUAAGACACGUCGCGGGGGUGGCAAGCACCUCGGGAUCCGGCGCGGGGAGAUCCUGGAGGUGAUCGAGUUCACCAGCAAUGAGGAGAUGCUGUGCCGGGACCCCAAAGGCAAAUAUGGCUACGUGCCCAGAACAGCGCUCCUGCCCCUGGAGACGGAGGUGUACGAUGAUGUCGACUUCUGCGGUACGUGGACACUCUGGGAGGGCUGGAGGGACCCUGGCGAUUCCCCGGGGGCGCUGCUCACUAUUGGGCUUCUGGGGAGAGGGGUCCAUGGAAGUCACGCUUCCUCGGCAGACCCCCUGGAAAACCAACCACUCCCCCUGGGACGGUAAGACCGGUAGGCAUGGGGCCAGGACAGCCGCCAGCCCAGCGCCCGCUCACCCAGGAGCCCUGGAUCCCAGCACUGGAAAGUCACAGAGCUGCCCGGACUUGUACCUGGCCACAUAAAGCCCCAGUUUAAAGCA